UGUUAGUACGUUUAUUUGGAAAAUAUUUUUUAAACAUUAUGCAAUAUACAUAUAUAAGUGUUUAGCUUAAAAAGUAUCUAAAUCACAGCUUUUCAUCUAUUAAUUAAUUAAUUUAGAAAGUGUAUAAAAGCAAUAACUUUCUUAGCAGUUCUUUAAAAAAUCGUUUACCCUCCCCCUCCUUCGAUCAGGUAAGGAGGGGGAGGGGUGUAAAGCUGCGCACUUGCUGUACCCGGCGGAGUCCGGAGGUGACGCAACAAUUAGUGCAUCCGGCGAUUUUUAAAGGUCCUCGGUGCUUGCUCCUUCAGCACCGGACGGGCGGUUCUGCGCGUGUUGGAAGUUUUCACAUGAAACUUCAAAGAGUUUUAAGCUCGAACAAUUUGCGCCAUCUAAAAACGCUGCCCUAAAGAUGAUCCCUCCCCUUCCUUCAGUUUUAGGUUAAGGAGGGGGAGGGGUCUAUAACAGAGCAGCUGCGGAACGCGACGGAUUUGGCGCAACAAGUACCUACCAAAUGCCUACUUGUAAAAUUUUAGAAGGUCCUCGGUGCCUGUGUCUCCAGUACCGAACGGACAAUCCUGUGCGCGUUCGAAGUUUUUACUUGAAGCAGUUAUUUAAUUCAGAAGCGACUUUGUAACUAGUAUAAUACGCGCAAUCUAAAUGCCGGACCUGAAGUUUGACUCUCUAUGAUAUCUUUCCAUCACUUAAUUUCAGACCUGCCAACUUAGACCGCGCGUAUUGUAAUUAAGAUAAUUUUAAUGUUGCUUUGUUAUAUACAUAUAUUGCCAUUUAUUUAACAAAGCAACCGGCUAGUGCUAGUGGAAGUUACUAUGUAUAAUGUACCUAUAUAUUAUAGAUCAGGGCGAUUGGGCAGUUUACACUUUAAAGACCUUGUACCUAAUUUAACGGUUAUGCGUUAUCGAUAAAUGUUUGAAAUCAAAACUCUACGAAGCGAUUAAACAUUAAUUAUUAUUCUAGUUAAGGUUAGCUCAAUGUUGGUUUGUUACAUAUAUGCAAAUAUUUAACAAAACAACCGGCUAUAAUUACUGUAUGUUACUAAUUCCGUAGUAUUUUAAUCAGUAGCUUAUGGUCCUUGUGUAAUCGGGACAAAAAAAAAAUAAAAAAAUUGAAGAAAAUGUAA
Long non-coding RNA from Nymphalis io (European peacock), 1135 nucleotides. RefSeq lists it as uncharacterized. NCBI's taxonomy places the organism in Eukaryota, Metazoa, Arthropoda, Insecta, Lepidoptera, Nymphalidae. The record is from RefSeq and is a predicted model, not a curated record. The transcript has 5 exons.